RNAcentral lists this ribosomal RNA (253 nucleotides) under uncultured prokaryote. Its description in RNAcentral is "partial 16S ribosomal RNA". It matches the Rfam family "Bacterial small subunit ribosomal RNA", at positions 525 to 777 of the family's 1533-position model. The record is from RNAcentral.
ACAGAGGUGGCAAGCGUUGUUCGGAAUUACUGGGCGUAAAGGGCGAGUAGGCGGCCUUCUAAGUCAGACGUGAAAUCCCCCGGCUUAACCUGGGAACUGCGUCUGAUACUGGGAGGCUAGAGUAUGGGAGAGGGAUGUAGAAUUCCUGGUGUAGCGGUGAAAUGCGUAGAUAUCAAGAGGAACACCUGCGGCGAAGGCGGGUUGCUGGGCCGACACUGACGCUGAGGCGCGAAAGCUAGGGGAGCGAACGGGA